GGGUAGCGGUGAAAUUCCAAACGAACUUGGAGAUAGCUGGUUCUCUCCGAAAUAGCUUUAGGGCUAGCCUCGGAAGAAGGAUAGUGGAGGUAGAGCACUGUUUGGACUAGGGGCCCAUCAUGGGUUACUGAAUUCAGAUAAACUCCGAAUGCCACAUAUCUAUAUCCGGGAGUCAGACUGCGAGUGAUAAGAUCCGUAGUCGAAAGGGAAACAGCCCAGACCACCAAUUAAGGUCCC
This 237-nucleotide ribosomal RNA is filed under the name Chaetoceros curvisetus. Its description in RNAcentral is "partial Bacterial large subunit ribosomal RNA". It matches the Rfam family "Bacterial large subunit ribosomal RNA", at positions 813 to 1048 of the family's 2925-position model. Lineage: Eukaryota; Bacillariophyta; Thalassiosirophyceae; Chaetocerotales; Chaetocerotaceae. The record is from RNAcentral.